Molecule: long non-coding RNA, 406 nt
Organism: Arabidopsis lyrata subsp. lyrata
Lineage: Eukaryota; Viridiplantae; Streptophyta; Magnoliopsida; Brassicales; Brassicaceae
Exons: 2
Source: RefSeq, a predicted model, not a curated record
UGACCAUUAGCUCUAAAACUAAAAGAAAAGAAGAAGAAAAAAAACACACAGAAAUUAUCUUCACCAAAAAAGAGUUACAGAGACAAAUAAUGGCAUCACAAAAAUUUCAAUUUGUUUUUAUUCUCUUAAUUAGUAGUCUUCUUUCUUCUCAGACAACUGUUUUUGCACAAAGAUGUUAGAUGUCACUACAAAGGCCCUUGUAAAACUGAUGAAGAUUGCAAGAGCAUAUGCACAGGUCCUGGAGAAGAUCCAACGUUUUUAAUAUGCAUUAAAAACCCUCCAAUUAAUCACAGAUGUUGUUGUAAAUUUAAUGGUCUAAAGACAGAUAGUUCUGUUCUAGAAUAAUACAUCCAUAUAUUUGUGUCAUCACCUUGAUCAAAAAAUAAAAUAAAAUUCACCUCUGUAU